RNAcentral lists this ribosomal RNA (738 nucleotides) under uncultured soil bacterium. RNAcentral's name for it is "bacterial SSU rRNA". It matches the Rfam family "Bacterial small subunit ribosomal RNA", at positions 30 to 773 of the family's 1533-position model. The record is from RNAcentral.
CGAACGCUGGCGGCGUGCCUAACACAUGCAAGUCGAACGCGAAAGUCCUUCGGGGUGAGUAAAGUGGCGCACGGGUGAGUAACACGUAGGUGACCUGCCUCUUAGAGGGGAAUAACCAGAAGAAAUUUUGGCUAAUGCCGCAUACGAAGUACAAAUCUAAAAGUAGUACUUGAAAGGAUGCCUCUGUAUAUGCAUUCACUAAGAGAUGGGCCUGCGGAACAUUAGCUAGUUGGUGGGGUAAAGGCCUACCAAGGCAACGAUGUUUAUCCGGUCUGAGAGGAUGAUCGGACACACUGGAACUGAGACACGGUCCAGACUCCUACGGGAGGCAGCAGUGGGGAAUAUUGCGCAAUGGGGGAAACCCUGAUGCAGCGACGCCGCGUGGAGGAUGACGGAUCUAGGUCUGUAAACUCCUUUUUCAUGGAAAGACUUAGGACGGUACCAUGAGAAUAAGGACCGGCUAACUACGUGCCAGCAGCCGCGGUAAGACGUAGGGUCCAAGCGUUGUCCGGAUUUACUGGGCGUAAAGAGCGCGUAGGCGGCUUGAUAAGUGUGAUGUGAAAUCUCCAGGGCUUAACCCGGAAACUGCACCGCAGACUGUCAGGCUUGAGGAAUGCAGAGGCAACUGGAAUUCCUGGUGUAGCGGUGAAAUGCGUUGAUAUCAGGAGGAACACCCAUGGCGAAGGCAGGUUACUGGGCAUUAUCUGACGCUGAGGCGCGAAAGCGUGGGUAGCAAAC